UAGCAACAUUUCAGCAAUAUGUUUCCAUUGUGCAUUACAAUUAGGAAAAUAUUUAACUAUAAGCUCUUUAUAUUCCUCUUUUUCCAUGUAAUUACAUGUAGGAAUCACAAGGUUUGAUCUGCUUGGAGACUUUGGACGGUAUAACUGGCUUGGCAGUUUCCACAUUGUUUUCCUGUACAAUAUGCUUUUUGCUGGACUCACAUCCGCCUGCCUCAUCAACACAGUCACAUGGGCCUUGCAAAGAGAACUCAUCCGUGCCUUUGGUCUCCACAGACUGCCUCUGACUGUGUCUCGAUCAACUAUCCCCCUCAAACUACUCCUAGCCAAUGGGCUCUCAAAGAUUCAUUGAAGAGCAAUCAGCUUUUUGAUCUAUCAUUGGCUACUGAAGCCUUUUACCUUCUGGAGAAGGUUCUGGAUCCCAGUCUAUGGCUUCUCUAUUGGACCAGAGCUAUUUUGUGUGCAUUUUAGGUAAACAAUAGUCACCAAAGAUGUUUACAAAGUGUGCCUGAACCAUAUACGUUGACCGAUGGGACCUUCUAAGUGGGAUUCUGCAACUGCAGUUUUAUGCGUAGUAAUAUUUACGAUUAGUACUGCAUUUAAUAAAGGGAUGUCAAAUCACUGGACGCCUUGAACAAAUGCCAUAUGAAACAAUGGCUACAGAGGACUUUGACAUGCGUCCAGACAGGAGAGCUAUUUCAGAGGAUGACAUCACAGCCAUGACCACGUUUCCUUUUCCUGGUGGUGGAAUGAGAGUGUUGAGUUGUCCUGGUGGGCCCCCACGCUUUCCCCUUGUAUAUCACUAUUUUUAGUGUCAUCCAGUGAAUUCAGUUCUGUUGGUCCUUAUUGCACUGGCAUUGGAAGUCCAGUCUGACGGGGUUUGUCUGCUUCUGAAUGAAGUGAAGAUCCUUGAGAAAAGGGAUGAAAGGAUAACAAGUGACCGUGAUCUUGAAGAUGAUGUUCACUGAGAAAACAAAUGGGGUUCUAGUUUGUAAAAUACACUUUUUGUAGAGUUUAGGUUUUAAAAUGUAUGUUUAAAAAAAAUGGCUGACUGAUUUCAAUCUUUAGGCCAAGACAGCUGUGAAUGUUUGGGGAUUUUGUUCCCUUGUUAUAUUUAAUAUGUGAAUCUUUAAUGUGCAAUAUUGUAUUAUGAAACGUCGACACAAUCUAACUUGACCUCCUUCCAGAAACUUGUGCUGAUGACCAAAAGAAGGUGUUUGGCCCAAUUAAGAACACCUAGAUUGGGCAAUAAGUUCAAAGUUUUGUUAGUUCUUAUGUUUUGGGUUGAGCUAUAUAGAGGGACAAUCAACGCACAUGAACAUUUCUUGUUUCACGGACACCAAGUUGCUGUGAUUUUAUAAAUGUGGACUUUUUGAUUCGAUAAUCACUCGUUUUAUAUGGUGCAGUAUUAUGGUGUACACAUUUGCUGAGCAAACUGUUGUUUAUUCUUUUGUAUGAUUCAGUUAUUUGUGAAUUUGCUUCCGUAUCAGCAUAAUUUUUUAAACAAAUGUCCUUCGAGUAGUGGCCAGUAGAGGACAGUGUGCCACAAAUCCAUCAUUGCAACAUCUCUAUCCUUCAGAUUCUUCCUCAGCCAUAUUUUAAUAACAUGAUACUUGCAUAAAACAGAUUUUCUUUUUCUUUGAGUAUCUUUUACAGUAAUGUAUCUAUUCUAAGUUGAAUGUGAAUCAUUGCUUAAAAGGGAUAGUUAGCCAAAAAAAAUUAAAAUUGUCACAAUUUACUCUCCUUCAUGUUGUUCCAAACCUGCAUGACUUUGUUUCUUUUGUGGAACACAAAGUAAGAUAUUGUGUACAUUUGGGAACAUUUUGAAGAAUGUUGAAGACAUUUUAAAACAGCAUUGGACCUCACUGACAACAGAUAUUUUUCAAAAUAUCUUUUGUGUUCAUACAGGUUUGUACCAAAGUGAGCAUAGGUUAAAUAAUGACCAUUUUCAUUCCUUUGAGUGUUUUUUCUAUUCUCAUAAAAUGCUUUUUUACAGCUCAGAAAAACUGGAUUCAUGAUGACAGACUGUCCUGCAUUACUGGAUCAUAUAUGGAUGUCUUUUUUACUUCAUCAUUAGAGAAUUCUUUCAGGAAACAAAGAAAAUACAGUGAGCAUUGCUCAUUUUUAAAAAGAAACUCCUGGCAUUUUAAUUGUUUGUUUAAAUGUUAAGCUGCAUCCUUUAAGGCAAGGUUAGCAACUGUGACAAACCAUUUCUUUUCAUUCCCUUCGAAAUGCAGAGAAAAGAACAAUAAAUGUGUUUACACCGGUUUUUCCAAGCAAUGUGUCAUUUGUGAGUCAUUUUAACCCCAUUUUUGUUUCUGGAU
This 2321-nucleotide long non-coding RNA is filed under the name Sinocyclocheilus grahami. RNAcentral describes it as "lncRNA (ENSSGRG00000010738.1)". The record is from RNAcentral. Lineage: Eukaryota; Metazoa; Chordata; Actinopteri; Cypriniformes; Cyprinidae.